This 444-nucleotide ribosomal RNA is filed under the name uncultured bacterium. RNAcentral's name for it is "bacterial SSU rRNA". It matches the Rfam family "Bacterial small subunit ribosomal RNA", at positions 355 to 822 of the family's 1533-position model. The record is from RNAcentral.
UCGGGAAUUUUGGGCAAUGGGGGAAACCCUGACCCAGCAACGCCGCGUGAAGGAUGAAGUAUUUCGGUAUGUAAACUUCGAAAGAAUAGGAAGAAUAAAUGACGGUACUAUUUAUAAGGUCCGGCUAACUACGUGCCAGCAGCCGCGGUAAUACGUAGGGACCAAGCGUUGUUCGGAUUUACUGGGCGUAAAGGGCGCGUAGGCGGCAUGACAAGUCACUUGUGAAAUCUCUGGGCUUAACCCAGAACGGCCAAGUGAUACUGUCGCGCUAGAGUGCAGAAGGGGCAAUCGGAAUUCUUGGUGUAGCGGUGAAAUGCGUAGAUAUCAAGAGGAACACCUGAGGUGAAGACGGGUUGCUGGGCUGACACUGACGCUGAGGCGCGAAAGCCAGGGGAGCAGACGGGAUUAGAUACCCUAGUAGUCCCUGAGCGGGCUGGCAAGGCG